GACAAGGUUUCCGUAGGGUGAACCUGCGGAAGGAUCAUUA
Molecule: ribosomal RNA, 40 nt
Filed under: Dioszegia aurantiaca
Lineage: Eukaryota; Fungi; Basidiomycota; Tremellomycetes; Tremellales; Bulleribasidiaceae
Description: partial 18S ribosomal RNA
Source: RNAcentral